UAGGGAAUCUUCCGCAAUGGACGCAAGUCUGACGGAGCAACGCCGCGUGAGUGAAGAAGGAUUUCGGUUCGUAAAACUCUGUUGUUAGAGAAGAACAGCGCAUAGAGUAACUGUUAUGCGUGUGACGGUAUCUAACCAGAAAGCCACGGCUAACUACGUGCCAGCAGCCGCGGUAAUACGUAGGUGGCAAGCGUUGUCCGGAUUUAUUGGGCGUAAAGCGAGCGCAGGCGGUCAAUUAAGUCUGAUGUGAAAGCCCCCGGCUCAACCGGGGAGGGUCAUUGGAAACUGGUUUACUUGAGUGCAGAAGAGGAGAGUGGAAUUCCAUGUGUAGCGGUGAAAUGCGUAGAUAUAUGGAGGAACCCCAGUGGAGAAGGGGACUCUCUGGUCUGUAACUGACGCUGAGGCUCGAAAGCGUGGGUAGCAAACAGG
Molecule: ribosomal RNA, 429 nt
Filed under: Bacteroidota bacterium
Lineage: Bacteria; Pseudomonadati; Bacteroidota
Description: Bacteroidetes bacterium partial 16S ribosomal RNA
Rfam family: Bacterial small subunit ribosomal RNA
Source: RNAcentral